This 234-nucleotide unclassified non-coding RNA is filed under the name Gomphrena flaccida. RNAcentral describes it as "ITS1". Lineage: Eukaryota; Viridiplantae; Streptophyta; Magnoliopsida; Caryophyllales; Amaranthaceae. The record is from RNAcentral.
UCGAAACCUGCGUAGCAGAACAACCCGCGAACAUGUUAAUUUCAUGAAUGGGGGAGGCAUGUUGGCUCGCCAACUCCCUCCCCUAAGUGUCACAGAGCUUUCCUUUCUGAUUGCUGUGUGGCACAACAACCAAACCCCGGCGCGUUAAGCGUCAAGGAAUAAGAUCAUGUGUUUGUCCAUCCAUGACUGGGUUUCCGGUUUAUGGGUGUGGCAUCAAUGUAAGUCUUAAAACGA